GCUGGGUGUGGUGGCGUGUGCCUGUAAUCCCAGCUACCCAGGAGGCUGAGGCAGGAGAAUCACUUGAACCUGGGAGGUGGAGGUUGCAGUGAGCUGAGAUCGCGCCACUGUCCUCCAGCCUGGGUGACAGAGUGAGACUCUGUCUCAA
This 148-nucleotide non-coding RNA is filed under the name Pan troglodytes (chimpanzee). Lineage: Eukaryota; Metazoa; Chordata; Mammalia; Primates; Hominidae. The record is from Rfam by way of RNAcentral.